This is a long non-coding RNA of Rhinopithecus roxellana (golden snub-nosed monkey), 1389 nucleotides long. RefSeq lists it as uncharacterized. Lineage: Eukaryota; Metazoa; Chordata; Mammalia; Primates; Cercopithecidae. The record is from RefSeq and is a predicted model, not a curated record. The transcript has 3 exons.
UUCUGCUUGCUGGGGUCUCCUAGGAAGAGCCAUAGAGGAUGGGGAUGGGAGAUCAGGGGUCUGAAUCAGAGGUCUCAAUCCCUGAGGAAGCAGGCACUGAACAGCUGAGUUCCUGGGGGAUGGUAGGGGGAGGCAUAGGAGUGCCUGCCUCUGUUUUUUUUUAGCGUGGGGGAAGUUGGCGGAGAGGAGUGGAUGCUUGGGUUCCUGAGGCAGGGGUAGGAGAAGAGCUGGUGGGGACAUGUCUGGGAGGUCAGGUGGAUGUUUACCAAUGAGGUGAGCAGCAGGUUUGAGGGUGCUGUGGGCAAGUUGCAUCUUGGGGUGCUGACGGGCAGUCUGGGCAGCUGAAGGUGUGAGGCCAACACCAGGGAGCCCCUAGGGGAGAACAGAGUUGAGGGGGGCUCUAGGGCUCAAGGUUUGGCUGAGCCACCCCAGCAGCCCCCAUUCUCCUGCUGCCUCACCUGGGCCCCAGGCAGCAGGACCAGCAGCAGCCCCAGAAGGAGGAGGUGUAGGGGGGUGCCACGCACCCUUGAAAGGAAGAGACGUUCAGGUGGUGUCAUGGGGAGAACCUGCAGAGAAAGAGAGAGAGAGAGACAGUAAGUGGGGCGGGGCACGCUGCGGAAGACAGACCUCCUGCCCUGGGAGACAGCACCCCCCCACCCCUGAGAGAGAGAUCGACAGAGAAGGGGACAAGAUGCAGUCAGAGAAACCCCAAGAUCCUGUUCACUCCAAGGCUCAGCCUCUACUGGGAAGGGAAUGAUGCCCACAUCUAUUCCUCCAGACCCAACUUCUCUUGGGCUCCAGACCUGCUUUCUGGAAAUCUCCACCGGAGAGUCAUGCUGGCCUGUUCCUCCAAUUGAAUCCCAGUGCAUCCUCCACUUAGACUCAACUCCUGGUGCCAGCUCUAGAGAGCAGAGAUACACUUCCACCUACCCACUGCUUCAUGGCAGGCACUGAGUCACCCCUUGGGAAUCCCUGGCCCCCCUCCCUGCCCCCACCAUGCUGGACAGGAUGCCUGCUGCCUGCCCCAAGGGGUCAGAGGAAGCCAGGGCCUCUAGGGCUCAGUAUUUUUAUCAGCCUAGGAAACAAGAGACACAGAAGCGGAAACCAUGUGGUCAGAGAAAGUGAACAGCCCUUAUCUCAGGGGAACCCCCACCAAGGCUGGGGGCCAGACACCAGGUAGGGACAUUGAAAAGACUGAUCUGGUGGGCCCAGGUUUCAGGGCUUAUUUUGCUUUGGUUUUAUGUAACUCAUGCAGAAGGGGAAAUGAUGUGCUUAAAAACCAGUAAGGGUGGAGGAGCAAAUUUGGUCACCAGUUUUCUGCAAUUUACCUCUCAACCCCCAGCUUAGGGAUCAUAACCCCAACUCCCCCCAAGGCCAAACCUGGGCUCU